UUGCAUAUCAAUAAGCGGAGGAAAAGAAACCAACAGGGAUUGCCCCAGUAACGGCGAGUGAAGCGGCAACAGCUCAAAUUUGAAAUCUGGCCCCCAGGGUCCGAGUUGUAAUUUGCAGAGGAUGAUUUUGGCGAGGUGCCUUCCGAGUUCCCUGGAACGGGACGCCACAGAGGGUGAGAGCCCCGUCUGGUUGGACGCCGAGCCUAUGUAAAUCUCCUUCGACGAGUCGAGUAGUUUGGGAAUGCUGCUCUAAAUGGGAGGUAUAUGUCUUCUAAAGCUAAAUAUUGGCCAGAGACCGAUAGCGCACAAGUAGAGUGAUCGAAAGAUGAAAAGCACUUUGAAAAGAGGGUUAAAUAGUACGUGAAAUUGUUGAAAGGGAAGCGCUCAUGACCAGACUUGGGCCCGGUGAAUCAUCCAGCGUUCUCGCUGGUGCACUUUGCCGGGCUCAGGCCAGCAUCAGUUUGCCCCGGGGGAUAAAGGCUUUGGGAAUGUGGCUCCUCCGGGAGUGUUAUAGCCCAUUGCAUAAUAUCCUGGGGCGGACUGAGGUUCGCGCAUCUGCAAGGAUGCUGGCGUAAUGGUCAUCAGCGACCCGUCUUGAAACACGGACC
This 608-nucleotide ribosomal RNA is filed under the name Metapochonia bulbillosa. Its description in RNAcentral is "eukaryotic LSU rRNA". It matches the Rfam family "Eukaryotic large subunit ribosomal RNA", at positions 36 to 667 of the family's 3401-position model. Lineage: Eukaryota; Fungi; Ascomycota; Sordariomycetes; Hypocreales; Clavicipitaceae. The record is from RNAcentral.